RNAcentral lists this transfer RNA (72 nucleotides) under Ovis aries (sheep). It matches the Rfam family "tRNA". From Rfam's summary of the family: Transfer RNA (tRNA) molecules are approximately 80 nucleotides in length. The record is from Rfam by way of RNAcentral. Lineage: Eukaryota; Metazoa; Chordata; Mammalia; Artiodactyla; Bovidae.
UCCCUGCUGACUCAGUGGUAGAGAACCUGCCUGCCAAUGCAGGAGACGCAGGUUCAGUCCCUGGGUUGGGAA